RNAcentral lists this non-coding RNA (24 nucleotides) under Arabidopsis thaliana (thale cress). Lineage: Eukaryota; Viridiplantae; Streptophyta; Magnoliopsida; Brassicales; Brassicaceae. The record is from RNAcentral.
UUAAGACGUCUGUAAUCAUUUCCU